Molecule: long non-coding RNA, 276 nt
Filed under: Mytilus galloprovincialis (Mediterranean mussel)
Lineage: Eukaryota; Metazoa; Mollusca; Bivalvia; Mytilida; Mytilidae
Source: RNAcentral
AUGUCUCAUGGGCGAUCAACCAAUUUUUUGCUUUCUUCUUAAUUAUGUCUCAUGUGCAAUCAAACCCUUUCUUUACCAUAGUAGUAUGUGUGAAAUGUAAAACCGGCUCCUUUUGUUUUCAAAGAUAAAUAUAAUAAUCAACAAAGAAUGUGAAAUGAUAUGGCUACAGUAUUAAAUUUUUUGCGCAGACAAGAUAAGGCAAGAUGAACGUACAAACCGCCGAACCAUUAUUUUUGGCAAGCCUGUGCUUCACUGGUAGGCAAUGAAAGCUACAAU